AACGAACGCUGGCGGCAGGCCUAACACAUGCAAGUCGAGCGCCCAGCAAUGGGAGCGGCAGACGGGUGAGUAACGCGUGGGAACCUUCCCGAUAGUACGGAAUAGCUCAGGGAAACUUGAGGUAAUACCGUAUACGCCCGCAAGGGGAAAGAUUCAUCGCUAUCGGAUGGGCCCGCGUAGGAUUAGCUAGUUGGUGAGGUAAUGGCUCACCAAGGCGACGAUCCUUAGCUGGUGAGAGAAUGACCAGCCACACUGGGACUGAGACACGGCCCAGACUCCUACGGGAGGCAGCAGUGGGGAAUCUUGGACAAUGGGCGCAAGCCUGAUCCAGCCAUGCCGCGUGAGUGACGAAGGUCUUCGGAUUGUAAAGCUCUUUUGCCAGGGACGAUAAUGACGGUACCUGGAGAAUAAGCCCCGGCUAACUUCGUGCCAGCAGCCGCAGUAAG
RNAcentral lists this ribosomal RNA (446 nucleotides) under uncultured bacterium. Its description in RNAcentral is "bacterial SSU rRNA". It matches the Rfam family "Bacterial small subunit ribosomal RNA", at positions 29 to 524 of the family's 1533-position model. The record is from RNAcentral.